RNAcentral lists this long non-coding RNA (578 nucleotides) under Homo sapiens (human). Lineage: Eukaryota; Metazoa; Chordata; Mammalia; Primates; Hominidae. The record is from RNAcentral.
CACUGCCAUGGGACAUUGAUGCUCAGGAUGGUUCUGUGGUAGUCAUAACUCUGGUAUCCUGAGACUAGUGUCCUUCUCCUAGGCAAGGGCAGCCCCAGGCUGGGGCACAGGAGAAAAGGCCCAGGCUAGGUUGUCAGUCUGCUAGGGACAGCUGUUUGUUGUGGGAUCACAGAUGAGAUCAGGAGAAGGACAACUGAAAGGAGAAGAGAGGAGACCAUCUCACACUGUCCAAUAUCACACUGUCCUGAUUACCAUAGUUACCAUACACAUCUUGAAAUCAGGAUCUCAUUCUGUCUGUGAACAUGGAUUCCACUUGUGUCUGAGACUUCCAGGGAUUCCAGCUCUCCCAAUUGCCUGUGUUUGGCCUUUAUGAAUGUGUUACAUUUUCAGUUGUUUCCUUCUUACCCACUUUUAUGGCUGUCAUUUCUUCCAUACAUGCUGUGCCGGAGGUGACGCAGUUUGUGUGUCUCAUCUCUCCUCAGAAUGACUUGUCACCCUUUUAUAUCAUGGAACAUAUAUCAUGGGAACAUGGCUGACUUGUUAGCUCUCUGACGAUCUAAUAAAAAACUGUAAUGUCA